GAUGGAUUGAAGUUCAGUUUUAUUUCCUUUUCUGACUCAUUUAUUCUCUCCCAGGCAAAGUCAUUUGUACUCCAGCUACCUUCGAAAGGCAUGAUGCCCAGGCUAAGAAAAUUUUCCAAUCUUUUAAUGGGACUGCUGCAGAUGAAGAAAAACAUCACGUAUAGAAAACCAAUGAUCAAAAGUGACCACCCCUCUCUAGGACACUUAAAUACAAAGAGGAUCUCAGACAGUCAGGACGAUGUGAGUUUAAAAACGUACUGUAAUAUGUAUCACAGAAAGUUGGAGAAGACAGAGAAGAAUUUGGGACAAAAAAGUCAUCCAUAUGCCACCACCCUGAGAGUCACUGGUGGCAGAUGGUGGAUUUGGGUGCAGUUUCAGACAUGCUGAGGUCACUCUGCAAAGAAGUUUAAACCUCGAAUGUUAAAGGAUAAACAUUCCCCUCUAUGUGCAUAAGCAAUUUGUGAACAUAAUGUAAUUUUUGCAUAAUAAAUCAUAAUGUGGUUACA
This 506-nucleotide long non-coding RNA is filed under the name Ursus maritimus (polar bear). RNAcentral describes it as "lncRNA (ENSUMAG00000004058.1)". The record is from RNAcentral. Lineage: Eukaryota; Metazoa; Chordata; Mammalia; Carnivora; Ursidae.